UUUUAAUGAUGAAAAAAACAGACCUGAUUCGAAACCAAUUUGAGAAUGAAUUCUACGUCUGAAAAAA
Molecule: non-coding RNA, 67 nt
Organism: Plasmodium coatneyi
Lineage: Eukaryota; Apicomplexa; Aconoidasida; Haemosporida; Plasmodiidae
Source: Rfam